UCCUCCCCCAUGCCGUCAUGGGCUCCUGAGGGUGGUACCCUGGCCGAUGCAUCUCUCUCUCACUAGUGCCUGGCCCAGGGCUUGGCCAAGAGAGGAGGCUUGAAUGAAUGAGAAGGGAAGAAAGGAGGGUCUCGGGUCACUUUAAACAGCCCUAGUUCCUGCACCCCUCGGUUAUCCCGGGUCCCUGAUCUGUCUGAGCCCUCCCCUAGCCUGGCUCCUACCAGCUCCUCACAGCAGGAUGCGCGAGGAUUUGGUUUAGGUCCCCACUCCCGAAAAGGGGAUCCCAGGUUGUCCCCCAGUGUCCAGGUAGCUCCAGCCACAUCAGCAGAGUCAACAGGAUGUGCUGUACCAUGGCAGAUAAUCAGUAAGCAUCUAUUGAAAUCGCUGUGUGACCUUGGGACUGCCACAAGGGAGAGGGAUCAUAUGGAUUCCUGUAGCCCAACGAGCAGGAUGAAAAUGGGUGAAGGAAGGUGGAGGUCGAUGAAAAUGCUGGGCAACGCACUGAGCAUAGAGCGUCUCUAGAAUGGAAGGGGCUGCCUUAGGAGACAGCGAGUCCCCUGUCAUUGGAGAAAAAGAGAUGGAAUCCCAGGGUUUUUUUCGAUUUCUCAGAGCACCUCUGCUCUCUGACGUGUGGGAUCUGCACAGCUGGGCCAGCCACUGAAGUAGGACACGCAAGAUUGACUCACCGUUGGUCAGAUGAAGCCAGGCCCAGGCUGGUAUCCUCAUCUGUAUGGUGACAAUAUUACCUGGGGCCGUUGUGGUGAGGAAGAAAAUGGUAUUUGCACACCAAGUGCGUGGGACAUGUGUCCAGUGAGUGACAGCUGUGUUGUUAGUGGAAUGCAAGGAAAUGUGUGGGAGCCAGUCUGUGCCAUGAUGACAAACUGUGCCUCAGUUGUCUGCCCAUCCCUAAAACUCAACUGACGUGUGCUCGAGGCCUAUUCUAUGUUCGGCACCCAGAGCGAAGAUCCUGUGCAUUAGAGUAUUGUUCUGCAGCUCUACAAUCCGGAACCUUUAUGACAUUCUUCAGUCCUGAGUCAGUUAUUGAAAUAUGAGUCUAAGACUACCUGAUUCUGUAAUCUAUCUCCUAAUUCUGUGGUUCGGUGAAGCUGGGACCAAGCAUUUAUUUGUGCCGGGCACGCACUACGCUUCUUUACAAACAUUACUUCAUUUACUCGUACAAUCCCGUGGAGGGAGAUAUUUCCAUCCCCCUUCUGCAGGCUCGGAGAGGUAAAGUGAUGUGGCCAAAGUCACACAACUAGUUCGUGAUGCACCCAAGAUUUUAA
Zalophus californianus (California sea lion) is the source of this 1283-nucleotide long non-coding RNA. RefSeq lists it as uncharacterized. The record is from RefSeq and is a predicted model, not a curated record. The transcript is spliced from 4 exons. Lineage: Eukaryota; Metazoa; Chordata; Mammalia; Carnivora; Otariidae.